GCCUUCAUGGUGUAGUGGUGAGCACGCUCGGCGUGUAUUCGAGAGGUCCAUGGUUCGAGUCCCGGCAAAGGCA
This 73-nucleotide transfer RNA is filed under the name Stegodyphus mimosarum. It matches the Rfam family "tRNA". From Rfam's summary of the family: Transfer RNA (tRNA) molecules are approximately 80 nucleotides in length. Lineage: Eukaryota; Metazoa; Arthropoda; Arachnida; Araneae; Eresidae. The record is from Rfam by way of RNAcentral.